Long non-coding RNA from Mercurialis annua (annual mercury), 1205 nucleotides. RefSeq lists it as uncharacterized. The transcript has 2 exons. Lineage: Eukaryota; Viridiplantae; Streptophyta; Magnoliopsida; Malpighiales; Euphorbiaceae. The record is from RefSeq and is a predicted model, not a curated record.
GAAGGAGACUAAGCAGCCAUUCUUUCACCAGAAACUGAUCGGCUAUGUUCCGAGUGGAUGUUAAUUUAUGUGAUGCAGCUGGAUAAGAGUUUCAGCAUAAGGAAGUGAAUUACCUGGAGUUGAUCACCAAUGUUAAUGAGAAGAGCGUCUGGAAUAACAGGAACUCUAAACCAUUGAUCAUCUUUAAGGAAUUGCAGGCCUUCUACGUGUUUGUCCUGAAGCACAAUAGUGAUUGCAGAUGGAUCUGUGUGCGGUGCAAGACCGAUAGCUAAAUGAUUGCUUGAAGAUGGAGGGAAAUAGUUGAAUCUCGCCCGUAGUGUUGGUUUAUCUCCAUAUUUAUCCAAAAAGCAGUGCUCUUCCAAGUUUAGUGACAUUGCCAUUGCCUUAAGGACUACCUCAUUUAUCAUCUGUAACUUUUUUGUAUAUUCAAGUAAAGUCUCCCUGCAGAUUAGGUUCUUUCUGGGUGAGUAUAUUGGAUCUCUUUUUUUAGGCAAAACAUUAUUUGAUCUUUUAUUUUAGUUGAGGAAAAAGAUUAUAUGGGGUUUAAAUGAGGAUUACAUGCUCGAAAACAGGUCUAAAUUGAGAGUUUGGUAUAUUUGUCACAAUUUGCAAAAUUAACAGACCUGAUCAUGUGUGGACUCUGAAUCGAUUUGUACUAGGCUCAACCGGACAUACGACUCUUGUACAAAUAAGUCCGAAUCUAGCCCAAACCUGAUUUGACCUUAUUUUUCAUAAAUUUGAUUUAUGUGAGGGCAAAGUGUUUAAACAUGGAAAUUGAGUUAAUAUAUACUAGGGAUCUAAAUCUACUCAUAAAAACUAGAUUAAUGCAGAUUCAGAUGCGGAUCAGACUUGUGAUUGUAACUAAGUAUUCAAACCCGCCCAAAUCCGUCCCAACAACAGAAACAAGUAACAAUGUGUUGGUUAGUGUAUCUAAUUGUAUCGACCUACCUGAAAUUUGGAGGGCUUUGAGGCCAGAAUGUGAGCUGUUGCUGGUCUUCUGAACUCAAUAUAAGAGUUAACCGGUGAUUGCAGUUAACUAUUGGUUGACCCUCAUCAACAACCAUGUCAUCUUCACCAUAACCUUCUCUGCUCUCACCAGUACCCCUCGCAUACUUCUGCUUCUCUUCCAUUGGAAGUGCGAAGAAUUGCUUGAUGACUGAUUGCAAUUCGUCCAAGAAUGAAUUCGUAAUUCCAUGAUUUAUCGA